GCCUUGGUGGCGGAAUGGUAGACGCGUCGGACUUAAAAUCCGAUUAGGCUCACACCUAGUGCCGGUUCAAGUCCGGCCCAGGGCA
This 85-nucleotide transfer RNA is filed under the name Candidatus Melainabacteria bacterium GWA2_34_9. RNAcentral describes it as "tRNA-Leu". It matches the Rfam family "tRNA". From Rfam's summary of the family: Transfer RNA (tRNA) molecules are approximately 80 nucleotides in length. Lineage: Bacteria; Bacillati; Candidatus Melainabacteria. RNAcentral also lists the same sequence under 2 other names. The record is from RNAcentral.